GCUCUUAUCUACCUUUCCUCAAUCCCCAACACCAGAUCACCUCUUUCUUCUCCAAAUCACCCUCUUCAACAUCCUCUCAUCCUCCUUCUCACUCACCAUCCUCUAUUUCUAACCCUAAACCUACAACUAUGUCGCCUCUACAAACCAAAAGCGCUAACAAACAGCCAUUAGUUAUCGGCAAUUCUCCUUCAUUAGGAUCAUUUACAAACACUUAAAAUCCACCACCACCACAAAUCUGGAGAACCACAUCGACCCACCAGAGAUUUACGAGAGAGAAAGAGAGAAAGAUAAGAGUUGGCGGUCACCGCAGCGGCGGUCAGCAACCCCGUGGUUUAGCAAGGUGCGAUUCGGCGGUGACUUGGGAACUAGGAUUCAAUGGAUUCCGGCGAUCGGUAUGGAUUAAGGGUAACAGGGAUAAACAGGUUUGUGUCGGCAUGGGGAUCAAAGGGAGCAUCAGGGCCGAAAUCCAAAGUUCGAACUUCAGUCACGAAAGAAACUUGGUAUGUGGGACUGUGUUCUUAUGUGAUAGCACGCGGCGACAGUGUACUGGUGAAGGACGAUUGUGAAGCUGGUGGUGGACGAUACGAUGUUCGGGUUUGAGAUGGAGGUAGGGUGGGCGUAGGGGGUGGUGAUGGGUAGUAGUUUGGGUGAUGGUGCCAGAAGGAUAUUUUACUAAUUGAGGAAAAUCGUCACCUUGAUUUGCGGAUGAUCAGCGACGCUGCAUGAUUACCAGGAACAAAGGGCAACGAAAUUGAGGACCAUUGGCACGCCCACUUGAACAAGUGCAGCCCAAACAAAAUCAUGAAGUUGUUUAUGAAUGGAAAGAGGAACAAAAUAUUAACACUUAACAGGAGACAAAAUAAUUUUCAAGAAUCAUUACAGAGAAUAAUGAUUCAAGUUCAGGCCCUGCAUACAAAUCAUUACAGAGGAUCUUUGAUGAUUCAAGUUCAGGUCAAUGACUAGGACGAUUCAUCAUUGUUGAAACUGGCCUAUUAAAGUUCAGCCACCGCAAAAGGAAACAUUCGCCAUUUAAAAAUGUGAGGGGAACAUUGUGUUUUUAACAUGGAACCAACCGAUGAAAAUGUGCAGUCAGCAGUUGGGAGCAACACAUACAUUUGAUUCUAUUGUGGCUGAGUGAAUUCUGAUAACGACCAAUAAUUAGAUAAAUAGGCAUAACAUGAAAGAAUUUAGACGGGUAUAUGAGUGUGUGUAUAUGUCUAGAUGAGUGAUUAUGAGACUUUGAACACGACAUGUUUUUAUAUGGUUAACGCAUCACAUAACGUGUCGUUAGCCUUAAACAACGAAGGCAUUGCCGCCGCAACGUGCGGCGGGUACAAAUACUAAAUGUGUCACAUGGGUUGAAAGUCGCCUAACGAUUAUCAUACUUGAUACUUGAUUCAUUCAUCUAA
Helianthus annuus (common sunflower) is the source of this 1409-nucleotide long non-coding RNA. RefSeq lists it as uncharacterized. The transcript has 4 exons. NCBI's taxonomy places the organism in Eukaryota, Viridiplantae, Streptophyta, Magnoliopsida, Asterales, Asteraceae. The record is from RefSeq and is a predicted model, not a curated record.